Molecule: long non-coding RNA, 379 nt
Filed under: Carica papaya (papaya)
Lineage: Eukaryota; Viridiplantae; Streptophyta; Magnoliopsida; Brassicales; Caricaceae
Description: long non-coding RNA (CPAP_LNC004886)
Source: RNAcentral
UACUCUUCCAAUUGAAUCAUGUAGAGCUCUAAAUUCGCACCCUCCAAACUCGUCUCGUUACUGUGGAACGGCCUCCUCCUCAGGCAAUUUCCGCCUUGAUUCCACAAUCCGUUCUCGAAAUGGGAAGGCGCGAAGGUCCUUAAGAAGGUAAUCCCCUUGUAAUUUUUCAAACUGUUGAUGGCUUUGAAUGCGGUUCUGAAGGCUUGUCUGUAGCCGUAAUACAUUGUUAGGUCGGUAACGUUUGGAAGGAGACAGUAAUGGCAGCCGACGAUUUGGUUGUUUUGGUAGAAGACUUGCGAUCGGAAGAACCAGUGACCGGCGGAGAGGAUGACGUAGUCGAAAUCUUGGAUCCGGGUGACCCAUUCGGGGUCGGGUUCGU